This 25-nucleotide non-coding RNA is filed under the name Cricetulus griseus (Chinese hamster). The record is from RNAcentral. Lineage: Eukaryota; Metazoa; Chordata; Mammalia; Rodentia; Cricetidae.
GUCGUGGUAGGAGGACUUGUUUUAU